UGAGGAAUAUUGGUCAAUGGUCGCGAGACUGAACCAGCCAAGUAGCGUGCAGGAUGACGGCCCUCUGGGUUGUAAACUGCUUUUAGUUGGGAAUAAAAGGCGGUACGUGUACCGCGUAUUGUAUGUACCAUCAGAAAAAGGACCGGCUAAUUCCGUGCCAGCAGCCGCGGUAAUACGGAAGGUCCAGGCGUUAUCCGGAUUUAUUGGGUUUAAAGGGAGCGUAGGCGGAUUUUUAAGUCAGUUGUGAAAGUUUGAGGCUCAACCUUAAAAUUGCAGUUGAAACUGGAAGUCUUGAGUGCACGCAGAGGUGCCGGAAUUCAUGGUGUAGCGGUGAAAUGCUUAGAUAUCAUGAAGAACUCCGAUCGCGAAGGCAAGUGCCUGGAGUGCUACUGACGCUGAGGCUCGAAAGUGCGGGUAUCAAACAGG
RNAcentral lists this ribosomal RNA (426 nucleotides) under uncultured bacterium. Its description in RNAcentral is "bacterial SSU rRNA". It matches the Rfam family "Bacterial small subunit ribosomal RNA", at positions 355 to 776 of the family's 1533-position model. The record is from RNAcentral. RNAcentral also lists the same sequence under 1 other name.